UACGUAGGGUCCAAGCGUUAAUCGGAAUUACUGGGCGUAAAGCGUGCGCAGGUGGCCUGUUAAGCGCGAUGUGAAAUCCCCGAGCUCAACUUGGGAAUUGCAUUGUGAACUGGCAGGCUAGAGUAUGGCAGAGGGGGGUGGAAUUCCGCGUGUAGCAGUGAAAUGCGUAGAGAUGCGGAGGAACACCGAUGGCGAAGGCAACCCCCUGGGCUAAUACUGACACUCAUGCACGAAAGCGUGGGGAGCAAACAGG
Molecule: ribosomal RNA, 253 nt
Filed under: uncultured bacterium
Lineage: Bacteria
Description: partial 16S ribosomal RNA
Rfam family: Bacterial small subunit ribosomal RNA
Source: RNAcentral